RNAcentral lists this long non-coding RNA (200 nucleotides) under Lathyrus oleraceus (garden pea). RNAcentral describes it as "Pisum sativum (pea) long non-coding RNA (PSAT_LNC022612)". The record is from RNAcentral. Lineage: Eukaryota; Viridiplantae; Streptophyta; Magnoliopsida; Fabales; Fabaceae.
CAAAUUUCUACUGGUACGUCUGUUCCUCCUCUUUCCUCUGAACCUCUGAUGGUUUCCUCUACCCCUUCCUCUAAUCCUCUCCCAACACCACCCAUUUAUACAACCUCUGAAAUCCCACCUUCAACCACCAGAACCUCACAACCUUCACCAAUUUUAAAUAUCGCCCGUACAUUCAUACCUCCUUCUGAACCUGAACAAAU